AUUGAACGCUGGCGGCAUGCUUUACACAUGCAAGUCGAGCGGCAGCGCGGGGGCAACCCUGGCGGCGAGCGGCGAACGGGUGAGUAAUGCAUCGGAACGUAUCCUCGAGUGGGGGAUAACCCAGCGAAAGUUGGGCUAAUACCGCAUGAGCUCUGAGGAGGAAAGCGGGGGACCUGCGAGGGCCUCGCGCUGGAGGAGCGGCCGAUGUCCGAUUAGCUAGUUGGUGGGGUAAAGGCUUACCAAGGCGACGAUCGGUAGCUGGUCUGAGAGGAUGAUCAGCCACACUGGGACUGAGACACGGCCCAGACUCCUACGGGAGGCAGCAGUGGGGAAUGUUGGACAAUGGGGGCAACCCUGAUCCAGCCAUGCCGCGUGAGUGAAGAAGGCCUUCGGGUUGUAAAGCUCUUUCGGACGGAACGAAAUGGGCGGGACUAAUACUCCGGUCUGAUGACGGUACCGUAAGAAGAAGCACCGGCUAACUACGUG
RNAcentral lists this ribosomal RNA (486 nucleotides) under uncultured bacterium. Its description in RNAcentral is "partial 16S ribosomal RNA". It matches the Rfam family "Bacterial small subunit ribosomal RNA", at positions 29 to 507 of the family's 1533-position model. The record is from RNAcentral.